UUAUUUUAACCCAACCUCAAAUUUUGCUCAGGAAAAAUUGUCCAGGGCAACAAUUUUCGUUUUGGUGCAAACAGCAAAAAUAUGUGAAAACUGGAGAACCUUAGAACGAAAACGAAACGUUUUGGCCGAAAAUGUAACCCGCAAAUGUAAAUGAAAAAGCCUGAUAAUUUUAUUUUUCGAGCAUAGACUAAAAACUAAAGGCAGGAGGUAUAAUGGAAUUGAAAACUAAGAUGCGGAUCACAACGUACCUGCUCGUUUAAUUCAUAUAUUGUAUAUUGUACACUGCAUAUGUAUGUUAACAAAUGUUAACCAAAUUGGCCACUGGGCGGAGCGAUUUCUGCAAGAUCGCUGAGUAGGCAGAUUCGCUGACCGUGGGAGCGCGGUCGCCGAGACCGCCGGAUGCCAGCCUGCAUCGGACACCAGACACGAGGCGCAAUGUCAGCGUUUCUGCUGAACUGCGACGGGCCCGGCGGACGUAGAGCGAGGGCUCGAGACCGGCAGUUUGGGUACCUUAAGUUUAGUUUUAUAUUGAUCCGACGAGUGGCAACUACACAUUUCGGUAUUAGCCUUGCAUCCUAUAUUAACUCAUAGUAAUGAAUAAAGGUUUACUACAUUAUUUAUAGUAACUUCAAAGCUGUUAUUUACUGGCGCCUAACGCGAAUAAACCGCCCUCGAGAUAUAAUUAUAGUGCGGAGACAACGCCCGCUAUAGUGUAAAUCGGCAAAGUAUUGAGUGCGGAGACAACGCCCGCUCAAUAAAGUUAAAGAAAGCAUUCGGUCAACGUGUAAAAACAAACAAAAAAAAUAAGUUAAAACAAAACACCUAAAACUUAAAAUAUAUGAGUGCGGAGACAACGCCCCUCAAAAAGUAGCACAAGAAAUUACAAGAAGUGUGUGCCAAAAGUGCACCAAACAACUCGUAGCCCCGAGUAUAAAGGAUGAUCCCAAUAAAUCUAACAUUUUUUACACCAGAGCGGACGGCUUUGGUCAGCGGCGAAGAUAGACAGGAAGAAGCCUACGAGACGGCCAACUGGAGAACCAUUACAAUUUAAGAAGAUACAACUAGGGAAACACCAAAUAGAAGCCAUACAGAAAACAUGCCCAUCAACGAGUAUUUCUGCAUCCUUAUAACCCUACCAUGGACAACCCUAACCGACUCCAAGCUGACGGACUAUUCGCACGCGGACUACAUCCCCAUAGUUGAAGGACGGACGGUGAUAUGGGACGAAACAUUAGGAGUUCACCACAGACAGGCCAGAUUUAAAUAUUCUUGGCACGGCUCUAAAGGUUAUCGCAGGGACACCGGAUUUUGACGACCUACAACAGACGCGACAGGUUGAGUACGAACUAGUUAGGGCUAGCAAUAAACAAAUUAACAUAAAUUCGAAAACCCAGGCGCAGAUUAAUGUCCUCACUGCAACCGUCAAACAAUUGUUGAGAGUUAGCAGGAAGGAAGAAAUACGUAGGUUGCUAUUUAUAUUUCGGGAAUAGGAAAUAAGAACAACAAUUUUUAAAUGAAAAUGGUUUUAUUGUUUUUCAAUAUAUUCCCCCUCAUGAUCAAUACACUUUUGCAUUCGUUAGAACCAUUGCUCAUAGCAGUUUUUCAAUUCAUUUUGAGACACCUUCAAAACAUAGUUUUUUAACUCUUCAACUGCUUCUUCGGCGUAAAUCGUUAGCCACGCAGUUAUUAUUUUGAUGUGAGAAAUAAAAAGAAGUCAUUGGGUUCCAAGUCAGGACCGAAGGGCGGAUGACUUAUCAUUUCGAUGUUUUGACUGUUUAAAAAUUGACCUGAUUGUCGAGAUGUGUGAGAACUCGACUUGUCAUGAUGGAGAAUGAUUCGUGUUCGGCAGUUGGUUUUGCGAAUUUCUCCGAAGACCUCCGGCAACAAAAUGGUCGUGUACCACUCAGAAUUGACAGUCCUACGUUGCUCUAGCAGAACAGUCGCCACAUGACCCAUUCUCCCGAAGAAACAGGCGACCAUUUGCUUCAAAGUGCUUCGUGCUCGAACAACUUCUGUUGGAUUUGGCUCAUUUUGAAACACCCACACGGUCGAUUGCUGUUUAGUUUCCGGCUCAUACGCAUAUAUCCAUGAUUCAUCACCUAUCACGAUUUUAAGAAUGGCUUUUGAAGCACCACGGUCGAGCUUUUUAAGGAUUUCCUUACUCCAAUCGACGCGAGCCUUUUUUUGAGCGAUUGAUAAGUUAUAGGGUAUCCAACGAGAACAAACCUUUUUUACAACUAAGUUUUCAUGGAAAAUGGAAUGUAUUGCAGUGGAAUUAAUGUAGAAGGAUGCCUCCAUCUCACGAUAUGUCACAUGUCGAUCUUGCAAUAUCAGUUCACGCACACCAUCGAUGUUUUGUGGCACAAAAACUGAUUUUGGACGACCUUUACGGGACUCGUCAUCGAGUGAACUACGACCACGAUUCAAUUCUGCAAACUAUCGAUAAUCUGUCUUUUUUUAUGGUGCUUUCUCGCAUGCAACGAACUAAGUUCAUCAACACAUUCUUGUUGGGAUAAUCCACGUCGAAAGUUGUGAAAAAAUUCCAACGAAAACCAUCUCGAAAAAUUUCAAUUUUUUUGCCAAGUGAAUUUUUGUUAACUGAUUGUAAACAAAACAAAACACAAUUGUACAUCAAAACGUUGUAUGUACAUAUGUGCUAAAAAAUUAAAAAGUUUAUUGUGGCGUUGUCAGAUUUUACGUAUUGGCAUUAGUAUUGCCAAUUCUCGAAAUAUAAAUAGCAACCCUCGUAAUAUUCGUAAUCGAAAUGCCUAGACCUAAGUACAUUUGUAAGAAAAUAACUAUGUUUCCUGUCGCCCAUAGCGGGGUAAUAAUCCGAAUGCCAGAGAACAUCGUAGCUGAGUGCGACAGCAAGGUCAUUGCAGUCACGUCAUGCAAAUGGCUCCCAAACCUUGCCUCUUGCAAGGCGGCACCGACAAACAACUGUGCACAAGAGCUGCAUUCCGGAGCAGUAGCCCACUGCCACACACAUCGUAAUAAUCAACGCCGCACAUGUCAUCGUGACCAUUGACAAUGGCCCGAAACGCCGAAUUACGGGAACGUACCUGGUGACUUUGGUUCUACGCACACAAACUUCAAUAGCGUGCCGAAAAGGUUCCCAGGUGUGGCAGCGGCCACGAGAAUCAACGUCACCCGGCACCAAACUCUGCUGAGCCUGCCAUUCCUCCACAAACUCAGCGAGGAAAAUUUAGAACGCAUUGCUGAAGUUCAGACGGGCCUUGUCACCGGGCCCGUGAUAGCCGUAGCCGUAGCCGUAGGCGUACUCAUAUGCGCCAUCAUAGCCGCAAACUUCUGGCAACUGCGGCGCAAACAGCGGAAGGAAACAGCCGACGCCGUCCAGCAGGUGCUGAAGAACUUGGGCUUGACCGAGGACGGCCAAGUCUUGAAGGAGGGAGUAGUUAACAAAUGUUAACCAAAUUGGCCACUGGGCGGAGCGAUUUCUGCAAGAUCGCUGAGUAGGCAGAUUCGCUGAACGUGGGAGCGAGGGCUCGAGACCGGGAGUUUGGGUACCUUAAGUUUAGUUUUAUAUUGAUCCGCCGAGUGGCAACUACACAUUUCGGUAUUAGCCUCAUAGCUCAUAGUUAUGAAUAAAGGUUUACUACAUUAUUCAAAGUAACUUCAAAAUUAUUAUUUACUUGUAUGCAACGGAGUCCCGUCAUACCUAUGUCACAGUGAAACUUUCCUUUGAACACAACGCUUUUUUUAAACCAAAAAUCUUGUAUUUCUUAUAAAUAGUACUUGAAAUAAGGAACUUGGUGCUUCCUUUAUUUAAGAAUCAACUCGCCUCGUUUUGCUACAUAUUAAAAUUUCGGCUGGUUAAAGUAUACUUUCUUCGUAACAAGACGAGUGAUGAUUAUGUGAAUAUCGACCAAAUAUUUUUAACAAAUGAGAUGAAAUGUCACUAAAAAUCGGAGCUCAAAAGAAGUGGUCACUCUUUAAAGGCAGUCAUAAAAAAACUGUUGCCCGUGGACACGAUUAGAAACAGAAUCGAAAAGACACUUUAACAUCGUUUGUUCUCAACGCGCUCUUUUUGCUUAGUUGCUGAUGCUCAGCUGCUUAAUGCCGAACGACAGUCUAUUCAUCAAACUGUCUUCGUAAGAGAGCUGAUUGUGAUUCUCUCGUCAAUAAGAAUGAAACAGACAGCUUAGAAAAAAUUUGUUGAGCAUAUUUUUCGAGCUCAGCUAAAAAUCCAUUUCCUGCCACUUUGUUUUUUUUUCGACAAACUGAAGAAUCUUAGAGAUGAACGACGGUAUCAAGGUGUCUGGGAUCAUAUGACAAACAAUUACAUAUUCAGGCAGGCUCCGGUUCUCACUUUCGCAAAAAUUAUAAUUGACUUUUGAAAAAGCAAACAUUGGUGUUCCUGUUUUCAUAAAACGUACAAUUUUUUCGAUUUCAAAACAAAAACAUUUUUCACGCCGUAAUGAAAAGAAUACGGCUUUUUAUACAAGAAACCGAGUCUUAAUUGCAAAAUGAAAAAAAUAGAUGACUUAUUAAUGCAUUAACGUUAUUUUGACACCAUUAGCAGGACAAUUUAUCUUGUGCUUUCUUUCUUAAUAAAUAUUUUUUUAGCCCGACCUCAAAUAUGGCUUGAAAAUAAUGAGUCAAGGCAAGAACUUUUCGUUUUCGUGCAAACUGCUGUCGCAGCCCGAUUCGGUUAUCAGAAUGUUUGCCAAAAAUACACAUUUAAAUCGGACUUCAAAAUGUAAGUGCAAAAAAUCAACUUUGUGGUAACACCCAGAUGGGGUUGAACUUUCUCCAAAAUCAUUUCGAAAGUAGGUUUGGCACUUCGAAAUGACUUCACAAAUCUGAAAACUUAUAAAUUAUAAAUUAUAAUUUUCAAUUUACCUUAGUAAAAUGGCUAUAUGUGCAAAAAUUAUUUUCAAUUUUUCUUAAAAAGUAAUAGCUGCUUGUUUGGUUUGACUAUGCAGUUCUUAUCUCUUAUUAUUGUGCUCAGUUAUGACAAAGCUUUGUCUUUGAACUCCAUGUGUGGUACCGUUAGCUUAGAUAAGAGAUCAAGCUCGCGCUCUACGUGGAAAAUAGAUAUAUGUGCAAUCAUGUUUAUUCAUGUUUUGAGAGUCGCAGUGUUAGCAUCUUUUAAGUAAAAGUGACAAGCUGAUUGAUUCUGUACGUAAGAACUCAUUAUUGCAUCAAACCAAUAAGAAUAUUAAAGAAAAUUGAACUUUUAGUUAAAAAUGCCUCGUGGUUCAGAAUUGUCUGAGAAAGAACAGGGAAGGAUCAAGGGAAUGAAGUUAGCCAGCAUGAAAACUGGACGCAUCGCUUCGCUAAUGAAUCGACAUCUUUCCAUCUUUUUGAAAGAUCCAGACGGUUACCGCAUAAAUCGUCGGCUUGGCCUGGUACCAACCAUUACCGAACGCACAAAACGGCGCAUGCGGCAGCUGGCAACUGAAGACAUGAUGAGCUGCAACAAAAUUAAGCAAAACUGGGUUUAAAAAUCACCAGGCAACGUGUGUGCCAAAUUUUGACCGAAAAUUUGAACCUCAAAUAUCAAAACAAAGUUGGCAAACCACGCUUAGGUAAACAGCAUUAAGAUGCGCGCAUGACUUUUUAUGAAAAACACAAGUUCUGGGACCUCGAAUUCGAAAAUAUCAUUUUUACUGACGAAAAAAAUUUAAUUUAGACGGUCCAGACGGCCAUCAUAAGUAUUGGAGAGAUCAGCGUCAUCCACGGGCAACUUGCUACAAGCAGAACCAUGGCGGUGGAUCGCUUAUGGUAUGGGCUGCAUUUAGUGCUAAAGGAAAGUCCCCAAUUUGUUUUGUAUCCGGCCGAAUGAAUGCUCAAGCUUACAUAUAUAGAAUUGGUAGAUAGUGAGCUAAUUCCAUUUACUGAGCAUUUGCAUGGGGAUCAAUGGACUUUUCAACAGGACAAUGCGCCAAUUCACGUUGCCCGUGCUACAAUAGGCUAUUUUGAGACCCACAAGAUACCAUUUAUGAGUCUAUGCCUGUAUAAAGCAGUACGAUACAUUGAGCAACUAAAACAAACAGAAUGGAACAGGAUAGAAAUAACAACACUACAAAACUUGGCAAAUUCAAUGCCCAGUAAGCUGAAAAAGCUUCAGGAGCAUAAGUUUAACUCCAUUAAUUAUUAAAAGAGUUCAUAUUUCCAUAAACUUGUUCCUUGGAAAUUUUUUUCAUAAAAAAUAUUUUUUGCUGUUAUACCCAUUUUCUAUGUGAAAAAUGUACAAUUAAUUUUUUUUUGUUAUUAAAAAAUUGAUAUUGAAUUUCUUUAUGCCUUUUUUUUUUGUACUUAUUAACAGCUACCCAAAUAAAAAUAUAAAAUAAAUCAAGAAAACACGUGUUGAAAAAAAACGUCAUUCAAAGCAAUGCACAUAUAGCCAUUUUACUAAGGUACAUGCUGUUAGUUUGUCAGACAUGUUAAAUACACAAUGUUACAUCGAAGGUGACUUGAUCUUAAAUCGCGCACUUACUGCCGCCGUUUUGCUUCAAAACAAGCAAUUCAAAAAAUUAAAGUAAUUUUGGUUUUGCCAGAAACGAUGAUAAAAUUAAACAAAUCGAUGACAAAAAUUUGUGAAAACGGGAGCACCUAAAAACGGAACGUUUUGGCUGACAAAAGUAAGUGAAAUAGCUUGUGUGAUUGUUGUAUGGAUUUCUGGAAUUGGCGAUGUCCUUAGCGACGUUUAUUCAAUAUCCGUAAUAAAAUAUAAAAAGCAAGAAACUAAUUUACUUUGACAUUUCAUGAGCUGUAAAAUUUAAAAUAUUUCACAAAUAUGGCAUUAUUAAAUUAUCAAUUUUUCAUUUGAGGGCUUAAUAUUUCUCAAACGGUAAGCUAAAGCUACAACGUUUUGAGAGACGAUUGAUAUCUGCAUUCAUUAUCUUUUCAGAAUAGCGAAAUUCUAUACAAGUGGGUUUAACAUACUCAAUAUGUACAAAAUAUCUAAAAAAAAUAAAAAAUAAAUAUUUAUAUAAAUUUACAGAAAUUCGAACCAUAAAAUGGAACCAAAACCAUGGCAGAGGUUUUGUUCUUAGUGGAGUGUAAUAAAUAAAUUAAUGUUAUGCCUAACAAAAGCAAAACUGUUUUAGGUAUGUUUGUAUGCAUAUAUGUACAUAUGCAUAUUUAAAUAAAUUUUAAAAUCUAACUCUUUAAAUAAAUUUCGAAGAAAUGCAUAAACUAA
Molecule: long non-coding RNA, 7168 nt
Organism: Drosophila miranda
Lineage: Eukaryota; Metazoa; Arthropoda; Insecta; Diptera; Drosophilidae
Exons: 2
Source: RefSeq, a predicted model, not a curated record